UCAGGCAACGAAACUGCGAAUAGCUCAUUAAUACGCUCAGAAUCUAUUUGGCAGCGACCAACAGGUUUUAAAUGGAUAGCAGAAGUAAUUCUUGUGCUAAUACAUGCGAUUGUUUCAUCUGAUGUGAAUUAAGAUGGAAAAGUUGACCGUCAGGCAUGCCAUUCGAUUGAGCGACCUAUCAGCUUGUACUUAGGGUCUUUACCUAGGUAGGCUAUCACGGGUAACGGGCGGUUACCGUCGGACUGCCGGAGAAGGCGCCUGAGAGAUAGCGACUAUAUCCACGGGUAGCAGCAGGCGCGAAACUUACCCACUCGAGACUUUCGGAGGUGGUAAUGACCAGUUUUAGAUCAGCUCCGUAAGGGGUUGUUUAAAUAGGAUCACACCUUUCCAGUGUGGUGGAACCUAGCAGAGGGCCAGUCUGGUGCCAGCAGCUGCGGUAAUUCCAGCUCUGCGAGUUUGCUCCCAUAUUGUUGCAGUUAAAACGCCCGUAGUCUGAACUACAAUUGUUUAAGCGAUUUUUAAUCGCGUUCACUGUGAACAAAUCAGGACGCUUAGAGUAGGGUCUCUGAAUGACUCAGCGCAGUAUGAUAUUUUUACCUAAGGUAAAAUCAACGAGAGCCACCGGGGGUAGAUCUAUUUCAUGGCGAGCGGUGGAAUGCUAUGACCCAUGAGAGAGAAACGAAGGCGAAGGCAUCUACCUAGCGGGUUUCUGUCGAUCAAGGGCGAGAGUAGGAGUAUCCAACCGGAUUAGAGACCCGGGUAGUUCCUACCUUAAACGAUGCCGACAAGGGCUUAUCUUUUCAUGAAGGUAGGACCUUAGGAGAAAUCAUAGUUCUUGGGCUCUGGGGGAACUACGACCGCAAGGCUGAAACUUGAAGGAAUUGACGGAAGGGCACACCAGGGGUGGAGCUUGUGGCUUAAUUUGAAUCAACACGGGGAAACUUACCAGGACCAGAUGUUUUUUAUGACUGACAGGCUACCGGUCUUUCAGGAUGUGACUUUUGGUGGUGCAUGGCCGUUGGUGGUGCGUGGGUUGACCUGUCUAGCGUUGAUUCAGAUAACGAGCGAGAUUAUCACCAAUUAAAUAAUUCUAACUAAUACUAGUUACGAAUUUCUAAUUGGGACUCCCUGUGUCUAAACAGGAGGAAGAGGGUAGCAAUAACAGGUCCGUGAUGUCCUUUAGAUGCUCUGGGCUGCACGCGCGCUACAAUGUGAGGAUCAAUGAGUUAUGAACUUGAUAAAGUUAAUUACUCUCUGAAUACCUCACGUAGUUGGGAUUGAUGAUUGUAAUCAUCAUCAUGAACCAGGAAUCCCUUGUAAAUGUGUGUCAACAGCGCACGUUGAAUACGUCCCUGCCCUUUGUACACACCGCCCGUCGCUCCUACCGAUUGAAUGAUUCGGUGAAAUCACCGGAGAGAAUUUCUUGAAGGUGAUUAAAUCAUAUUAUUUAGA
Molecule: ribosomal RNA, 1452 nt
Filed under: Koruga bonita
Lineage: Eukaryota; Parabasalia; Cristamonadida
Description: SSU rRNA
Rfam family: Eukaryotic small subunit ribosomal RNA
Source: RNAcentral